Long non-coding RNA from Loxodonta africana (African savanna elephant), 4563 nucleotides. RefSeq lists it as uncharacterized. NCBI's taxonomy places the organism in Eukaryota, Metazoa, Chordata, Mammalia, Proboscidea, Elephantidae. The transcript has 2 exons. The record is from RefSeq and is a predicted model, not a curated record.
CGGAAGCCGGCGUGCACGGGGCGCGCUCCGCACAUCCUCCCUAGCCGGGUCGCUGGGAGCCGGCUGGGCUCGGUCACCCUGGAGGAUGUGCCCUUCCCGGGAGCCCCGGAAGCCAGGACAUCGAGCCUCUCUUGGCGGGACAGUUGGGGAGCUCCUCGCUCUGCUGGACCUAGGCCCUGGCCGUGUCCUCCGGAGCCCACAAUGAAGUAGCAAGGGUAGGCUGUAAACAAAUGUCGACACAGUGUGAUGGCUGCAGCGUAAAAGAAGCAUUGUGAGGUUAAACGUUACAGGGUAACAUUAAGGACGGCGGGGACCUGGAGGGUGCAGAGACGUCUCCCUGAGUUUGAAAGACCACUUCUGGUGUAAAGAGCCGUGUGUGCUGUCCCUGACCACAGAGGUCAGCUGAGUGUGGCUGAGUAACGCAGUCGGAGAUACGGCUGAAACGGUAAACUGGUCACAAAGGGGUUUAAGGGCAGUGACUCUCAAACCUGUCCGUGCACCAAAUUCCUUUGGGAGCCUAGGAAGAAGUCACCAGAUGUCUCUUCAGAUUCACUGAGCUCGAGGUGGGGCCAGAGUGCUGUUUUACAGCUAUAUUGGGUCAGAAGUUAUUUAGCCCAUUAAUUAUAAGUUCAUUUUAACUCACCAUAAUCUAGUUCUGUCUUGCCAUCUUAUCUCUACUUUUCAAAACCAGCUCUUUAUUCAGGUUGCUUUCUUAAAAGUGUUUGAUUUCCCUUCUGCAUUCCAGAAAUUAAGAAUGCCCUCCCUUCUAAAUCAUUAUUUUUGAGUAAUGGUAAUUAAGAGAAAGGAGCUUUGGUGGUGCAGUGGUUAAAGUGCUUGGUUGCUAACCAAAGGUCGGUGUUUCGAACCCACCCACCAGCCACUCGUUGGGGGAAAAACUUACAGUUUUGGAAACCCCAUGGGGGCAGUUCUACUCUGCCCUAUAGAGUCCUAUCAGUUGGAAUCGACUUGGCUCCAGUGGGUUUGGUUUUAGAUUCUAGUCCCAGCUCUAAUUCUGUGAUUUCGGAAAUACACUUUUUCUAGAUUCAUUUCCUUAUCUGUGCAAGAAAUACACUUACAAGUUGGAAAUUUCUCCUAGUGUAAAAAUUGGAUCAUUACCUAUAGGCCUAGUUUGUACCACACAUUUUUGCACUGAGCUUCUAUACCUCUUACAUUUUAUAAGAACGUUAUAUAUAUAUUAAAAAAAAAAAAAAAGCCAUCAAGUCGAUUCCGACUCAUAGCAACCCUAAAGGACAGAGUAGAAGUGCCCCACAAGGUUUCCAAAAACGUUACAGGAUAGUCAAAUUGAUAUAUCGACUUCAGAAAGCUUUGUGUUGACUUACAAGCGUUAACUAUCGAAGAACGCUAAGGCACUGGGAAGUGAGUUGUAAGUUCCCCUCCCCCCAGGAGCUGUGUACAGCCUUUGGGUCAGCCCUCAGAGUCUAUUUACUUAUAUUGUCCCUUAUCUGUACCUACUCUCUGUUCCUUAGAGGCUUGUCCUGAAGAUCAACAUCAAAAGGAAACAUUGUUUAAAAAAAAAAUUAUGUAAACAAAAAGCACUUACAAAUGUAAAUUGUUAGAAAUUAUAUUGUUCCCAAUCGCUGAUAAAAUACAUCAAAGAAAAAUGCUUCCAUAGAAGUUUUAUUUAUCCCCACAACAACCCUGUGAGGUAGGGUGAUCAGGGCAUUUAAGGAGAAAACUAAAUCUACAUUACUUGUUCACGGCUAUACUGCAUAGUAAAUAAGUAGAAAUUAAAUUGAGAUUUUUAAAUGUCCGUGACUUUAUAUUGAUUUAUGUGGAAACAGGCAGAGAGAAUAUUAACUCCCCCCUACCUUAAUGCCAAAAGGACACUGCCUUGAAAAAUCCCAUUUCAAAAGAUGAAAGUAGUAUUUCAUUGCUUAUUUCUACAAAGAUUUAUAAAAUAAAAAAAUAGUGAAGUAUUUUUACAGUUGAUAUAUCUAUCAUGGUCUCGUUCAGGGACAUGUCCUUCAGCUGUGGAUGUGAUCAGCUAUUUCAAGUCCUAGAAAUGCAAAAUCUUAAAAAAUACAAAAGACAAAAAUGGUGGUGGGCAGUCGCCUCCAUCUUCUUUAUUACUCCUCCAUGUAUCUUGAAUAGGUUCUGUGAAAUUGGGUCUGUUUUUAAACAAAGAGAAGAAAAACAAAACUCUACCACAAAGAGAUAUCUGGUCAACUUUAAUUUUGUUGCCUGCUCUUAAACCACUGUGACAUUAUUUAAAACCGUGGUUUUCCAGACCUGGCUCUCAAGGCCCGACUCUCGACUCAGUGAAAUCAUUUUCUACAUGGUGGGCCUCAAAGUAAUUCUAAUGAACAGUCAGGUUCGGGAACCACUGAUGAAAAAUGCUAAUAUUAAAAUUGUACACCUAAACUAACUAGUAUAAACUUGCUGCUCUUAUCCCCUUCUUAAAAAAAGAUCCCAAAACAUGUUAUAUCCCCAGCACUCUUGCCUCUGGGCAAGUAAAUUCAAGAUACAGAGAAACAUUUUAUAAAAAUGUAUCCUAGUUAGUGAUACUUGGAUUCCAAUAAUAAUUUAAGUAGCAUUUAAAUACAAGAUACUGAGUUUUUGUGGCCCUUCUUCUGAAUUUUUAAAAUGGAUUUUAUACAGGUUCCUAGCAGGCUUUCAACUCAGGGGAAGACAUGAAAAUAGUGACAUAAUCAAGCAUAUCAGCACUGAAAAAUUACUAUAUACUCAAAUGUAGCUCAUGAGAGGAAUCAGAAAGUGAAGGAAUGACAACCUAAGGCCUUUUGGCCCAUACAUUUUUGCUCCCAGUCCACUCUUCCCCUAUAAGGGGAAAUAAAAUAAACAUUCUUUCUUAGUUGCUUGGCAUAGUUAUUCGGUGGGUAACUAUUAACUAAGUUAAUUUAGAUAUACAAGAUUAAAAGCGAUAACUAACAAAUAAAUACCUAGAAGACAAAGAGAAGUCAGGUCAGAAAACCUAAACUAGCUGCUGAUGUGUCUGUAACCCACUGUAUCAGUACAAUUAAUGAAGGCUUCAGUGUCCUUUCCAUUUCAGCUUUCUGUGAUUAACACAGAUGUGGACGAGAUCUGAUCCUCACGAAGAAUUCUGUGCUCGCUGGAAAGAUUUGUAGGAGUAAUGAAAUGCUUUCUUCACUGAUGAGAUGAAGUCUCUCUGUUUUCAGGCAAGUUGACUGAACAAAACAAUGAAAAAUGAACUUCUGUAGAAGGCUAAAUGAAGGUAAUAUCUAGAUGGAAAAGUCAUUGGCCAAAGAUAACUUCUUUUUUAAAAAACAUUCUAUGUUUAACCCUAGAACAAAAACCCCAGAGACAUAUAAAAAAACAAACACUGUACAUAUUCAUUUCACUGACAGUUACAAGAAAAUAGCCAUUUAUAGAAGUUACAAUGCUUUCAACAAUCCCAAACAAAUUUUGGGAAACAGAUAAAGCCAUCAGGUAAAUAAAUAUACAUAUACUAGCUAAUAUAAAAACAAUUUAUGGUUACGAAUUGUCAUCAACUCUCUUUUUUAGGACCCAAGGAGAAAUAUUGUGAUAUAAAUCUGGUUAGGGCUACAUAUGUUAUACGGAAUUAAAAAACACAACUGAUUAAAACAUCAUCUCUAAUAAUGAUACAAAUAUUUAAAAUAAUGUCUUAAAAGUCAGACAUUUAUCAUGGGAAGUAUCAUAAUUUUAAUAUGUACGUCAGAGCUGUAAUGUGUACAGAGGUCACUCCUGCUGGGUCUGUGUUGGCAGGUCUCAUCCAUCUCUCCUGCAUUUACUACAGUCUUUAGGGCACACAUUUCCUGGGUGAGCUGAAGGGCUGGGCACAUCUCAAUUCGUAACAUACACACCUUCACUUCACUACAUGGAAGUGUCUCAUGUGUACUAGUAAGGGAAGGGUAAUGGAGGAUAAAACACUAAAUAGGUGGAGGGAAGCUGGAUAAAUUCUCUAAAUUAUUUUGAAGUUUUGAAUUAACAACAAAUUAAAAAUGACCCAAAUAAAGUACUGAAGAACAAAUAUUAAAUUGUUGCCAAAUGUUCUUGGGCCAUGUAAAAUUUCCCUUAGUUUAUCUCUUUCCAGAAACUUUCUGUUUUGAUUCAUCUGUCAGUUGACUUUAACUCUCCUGGCGUAGGGCUGAACCCAGCUUUACCAUUAAUAAAAUAUGGUUAUUUUAAAAGUUGGCAUUCAUUAUUAAGGUGCCUGUGUCACAGGCACAACAGUAUAGGUGCUUAUGUUUCCCUUUAAGUAUGGGAAAGCCCUUUGAAAUCGUAUUGACUUAGAAAAACUUUCAGCAGUUCUAAUGCAUGCUGGAAGUUCUGAGCCUGUAUAGGUUCUGGGGUUUGCUUGUUUGAGCGUUAGCGGGCCGGGAGCAGGGAGACAUGUAACUAGGUUCACAAUUCUCAGCAAGAGCCUAUGUAAAGGUAAGGUUAUGUACAUUUUAUUUCAAGAAAGACAGAAGACAAACAGCAUAAAGAUGCCCAGAUGCCCUACAGAUAAAUACAUUUCAAAGAAUGAAUCUGUAGUAUUUCUUUUCCUGCAAGCAAGAUACCUUUCUUUAAAUUAAAAAAAAAAAAAAAAUCAGUAUUCUGAAU